UACAGUAAGCGUAGUUAAAAAUGGUCCGUUGGUUAAAAAGUGGUUCGUUAAAACGAGAAAUGCCUACAGAAAUAAUGGACUCAAAGAUGUGCUUGAUGGAAACAUAGUGGUAGAUGUAAAUGCGGAACUGGAGCAUAAGAUAUCUGAAAACACUUGCAACAUAACACAUGACAAAGGCAACAAGUGGAUAAAAUCACUUCUUGUUGGUGAAGCACACUCCACCCAACAUCUUGGACUACAUUGGUGAUUUCUUGCGUGCAGAAAUAUCUUAAGUUCUUUGACAUAAAUGUGUGAAGGAAAUUGAAGCAAACAUAGCAAUGAGAUUCAAUGUGAGAGUCAAAUGCCCUAAGAGGGCUUCUGUGACACAUGCUAUUGAAAAAUGUAAUAGUAUGUUCUGGGAACUGCACAUAAUUAUAAAUGCACACAUCUUCAUUGUGGAACAUCAUAUUUUCUAAUCCAAA
This is a long non-coding RNA of Schistocerca nitens (vagrant locust), 461 nucleotides long. RefSeq lists it as uncharacterized. The transcript is spliced from 3 exons. The record is from RefSeq and is a predicted model, not a curated record. Lineage: Eukaryota; Metazoa; Arthropoda; Insecta; Orthoptera; Acrididae.